CCCUGUAGGAGCUGCCGAAGGCUGCGAUCUUUUGAUUUUUAAGAUCAAAAGAUCGCAGCCUUCGGCAGCUCCUACUCGA
RNAcentral lists this unclassified non-coding RNA (79 nucleotides) under Pseudomonas umsongensis. The record is from RNAcentral. Lineage: Bacteria; Pseudomonadati; Pseudomonadota; Gammaproteobacteria; Pseudomonadales; Pseudomonadaceae.